Molecule: long non-coding RNA, 907 nt
Filed under: Marmota monax (woodchuck)
Lineage: Eukaryota; Metazoa; Chordata; Mammalia; Rodentia; Sciuridae
Source: RNAcentral
UCUUGAUUUCCCAAACUAAAUCAGGUGUUCCCAUUAUAUACUUUUAUAGCACUCUGCUCCCUCUCAUACAUAUUUACUUGAGUAAUUUUUAGUUAUUUUUUUCCCUGAUGGGCUGUAGUAACCACGAGGGCAGGGACUGCAUAUUUUUUUAGUUCAACAGUCAAUCUCCAGAUCUUUGCACAGUUUCUAAUAUACAGUAGGCACUGAAUCAACAUUUAUUAAAUGAGUGGCAAUUAAAUUUUUAUAUCCUUUAGACCAUGAUAGAAUAACAUAAACUAGAUUUGUCUUUUCUCCUCAAAUACUAGAAAACUGACAUAGAGUACACGCAACAACAGUUUUCAGACAUUGGACAACAGAUAGCACUGGAUAGAGAUUCCCACAGAAAGGAAACCAAUCACAUAAGCACUUCCAUGGCCCUGGCUCAUUCCUCUAUGGGGAAAGGGAACCCAAACAACCUGGUAGUCCUGCUGAGCUUAGGAAAUUUGUGGAGAAACAUUCUAGAAAGGAAGUCGCUAUGGAGAGAGGGGAGAGAGUGAGAGAGUGAGUGCACACACAAGAGGGUAAGCGUGCCCUAGCAGGCAGGCAGCAGCGAUGGCCUGAAUGUUUGCAUCUCCCCAGAAUACAUGCAUUGCAGUUCUAACCCUCAGGUGAGGGUAGUAGGAGGCAGGGUCUUGGGGAGGUGAUGAAUUCAUGAGGGCAGAACUCUCAGGAUGGGAUUAGUGCCCUUAUAAAAUGGGCCCAAGGAGCUUGUUUAUAACUUCUUCAGUCAACUGAGGACACAGUGAAAAGUGCCAACCAUGAACCAGAGUGAACUCUCUUCGGAUACCCUAUCUACUGGUGCCUUGACUUGGACUUCUUUGCCUCUAGAACUGUGAGAAAUAAAUUUAUGCAGUUUUUCAGCUCCUAG